GUUUUCUUUUUUUUUUUUAACGUAAUAAUAUCUUUAUUGCAUAUUUGCUGUAACAAUUUACUAAGUUUACAGCUUGUAACUUAGUAUCCCUCAUGUUAGUUUACCUAAUAGUUUAGGGAAGCACUAUUUGGUAAGAUAUAACUUAUUCAUAAUAUUAGUAUCUAUAGUACAAUUGAUUUCACAAUUAUAUAAAAUAAAUAUUGUGAAUACACAUACAGAUCUUUGUUAAAUAAUUUC
RNAcentral lists this long non-coding RNA (237 nucleotides) under Mytilus galloprovincialis (Mediterranean mussel). The record is from RNAcentral. Lineage: Eukaryota; Metazoa; Mollusca; Bivalvia; Mytilida; Mytilidae.